This 301-nucleotide ribosomal RNA is filed under the name uncultured bacterium. RNAcentral's name for it is "partial 16S ribosomal RNA". It matches the Rfam family "Bacterial small subunit ribosomal RNA", at positions 509 to 809 of the family's 1533-position model. The record is from RNAcentral.
CAGCAGCCGCGGUAAUACAGAGGGUGCGAGCGUUAAUCGGAUUUACUGGGCGUAAAGCGUGCGUAGGCGGCUUUUUAAGUCGGAUGUGAAAUCCCUGAGCUUAACUUAGGAAUUGCAUUCGAUACUGGGAAGCUAGAGUAUGGGAGAGGAUGGUAGAAUUCCAGGUGUAGCGGUGAAAUGCGUAGAGAUCUGGAGGAAUACCGAUGGCGAAGGCAGCCAUCUGGCCUAAUACUGACGCUGAGGUACGAAAGCAUGGGGAGCAAACAGGAUUAGAGACCCGCGUAGUCCCUGUCUCUUAUAA